GAUGAAGAACUAGCGAAAUGCGAUAAGUAAUGUGAAUUGCAGAAUUCAGUGAAUCAUCGAAUCUUUGAACGCACAUUGCGCCCGCCAGUAUUCUGGCGGGCAUGCCUGUUCGAGCGUCAUUUCAACCCUCAAGCCCCAGCGGCCUGGUGUUGGGGACCGGCGACCUCGCCCGAGCCCGCCCUCCGGGGCGCGUGCCCGGUGCGUCCGCCGCCCCCGAAAUGAAUUGGCGGCCUCGUCGCGGCCUCCUCUGCGUAGUAGCACAACCUCGCAAGCGGGAGCGCGACGCGGCCACUGCCGUAAAACGCCCAACUUUUUUAGAGUUGACCUCGGAUCAGGUAGGAAUACCCGCUGAACUUAAGCAUAUCAAUAAGCGGAGGA
Molecule: unclassified non-coding RNA, 378 nt
Filed under: soil metagenome
Description: partial contains 5.8S ribosomal RNA, internal transcribed spacer 2, and large subunit ribosomal RNA
Rfam family: 5.8S ribosomal RNA (bases 1-119)
Source: RNAcentral